This is a long non-coding RNA of Rhineura floridana, 983 nucleotides long. RefSeq lists it as uncharacterized. The transcript is spliced from 5 exons. NCBI's taxonomy places the organism in Eukaryota, Metazoa, Chordata, Lepidosauria, Squamata, Rhineuridae. The record is from RefSeq and is a predicted model, not a curated record.
ACCACUUCUGUCCAUGUAGCUAUAAAGGAGAGCCCUUACCAAAGUGCAAAUGGAGAAGUCGGCAAGAAAGCAGACAGUGCUCUCAUAGUCUGAAUCCUGGAAAAUAUCGAUUUCAUUACUGAGGAAUUAUUCCUCAAACAACUGGAGAGUCAACAGGGAUAGCUGCUGGCAAAGCAGAACUCUAAGCAGCAGUAAUCUAAUACAGCGUGCAGCUUCUUUUUCACAAGGAGGAAGGUCUGGAGAAGUGGCACCAUUAUUGUACGUGUGUGCAAAACUCAUAAAGCACUAAGCAUAAUUCUGUUGGUUUUGAAAGUGCCUGCUUCACAUUGGGAUGAAUUAGAAGUUCAGUUCACACACCAUGCUGUUAUACUGGAUGUUGGGUUGGGAUGCCAGUCAACUCGCCCAUCAAUUAUGGAACCCCACCUGUCCAGCCUGCUGACCAGCGUCGGGACAGACAAGUUGGACAAACUCUUUCAGAGUCUCCUGAGGAUGAUAGCGGAUUGCUGGGUGUGAGAAGUAUGGCCCAGGCUGUUGAAUAAUGGGUGAUGUUGGAAAAUGAAGAGUCGAUGGUGUUGCAUGUGGACUUGCUAUAAGAAAAAAACACAAGAUGUUAUAAGGAAUAGAUUUUUGGACUUCAAUAAACACAGUUCAUAUCUAUCUAUCUAUCUAUCUAUCUAUCUAUCUAUCUAUCUAUCUAUCUAUCUAUCUAUCUAUCUAUCUAUCUAUCUAUCUAUCCUCCAAUUAUUUUAAUAUAUCCCUUAAUUAAAAAAAAUCCUCCCAAAAUUUAUACACUCUAGAGUACAUGGCGAAGGUUCUAUGUACUGAUCUUUCAAUUUUAUAGCAUUUCAAGUAUAAAUGCAGAUUUAAAUGCAGCCAAUUUUAAAAUGUCUUUUCUGCAUUUUUAGUGGUCAUCAUUUAUAAAGGAGCCAGAAGACCUUGGUAAAAGUGACAACUAUUAAUUACCUUAAGAGCCUUUCUAAUGA